This 433-nucleotide long non-coding RNA is filed under the name Mytilus galloprovincialis (Mediterranean mussel). Lineage: Eukaryota; Metazoa; Mollusca; Bivalvia; Mytilida; Mytilidae. The record is from RNAcentral.
CGGGCAUUCAGAGCGGAGUUAAAAGUAUGUAAAGUGUUGUUAGAAGUUUUAUACCUCCUCCUUCAUUUCCAAAAUUCCCAAUUUUUGGUUUUCUAUCAAUUUCAAUAUGAACAUACAUUUAGUAUGUUAUGAACAUUUAAGUAAGGAGCCUGUAGUUCAGUGGUUGUCGUUUGUUUGUGUGUUACAUAUUUGUUUUUCGUUCCUUUUUUUUGUACAUAAAUAAGGCCGCUAGUUUUCUCGUUUGAAUUUUUUUACAUCGUCAUUUCGGUGCCUUUUAAAGCUGAGUAUGCGGUAUGGGCUUUGCUCGUUGUUGAAGGCCGAACGGUGACCUAUAGUCGUAAAUUUCUGUGUCAUUUUGGUCUCUUGUGGAGAGUUGUCUCAACAUGGCAAUCAUACCACAUCUUUUUUUUGUUAUCAAUGAAUUUUGUAAAAU